This 514-nucleotide ribosomal RNA is filed under the name uncultured bacterium. Its description in RNAcentral is "bacterial SSU rRNA". It matches the Rfam family "Bacterial small subunit ribosomal RNA", at positions 24 to 518 of the family's 1533-position model. The record is from RNAcentral.
UCAGAACGAACGCUGGCAGCGUGGAUUAGGCAUGCAAGUCGAACGGGAUCGGGAAGGUAGCAAUAUCGGCCCGUGAGAGUGGCGGAAGGGCGAGGAACACGUGAGCAACCUGUCCUUGAGGUGGGGAAAACCGUUGGAAACGACGGCUAAUACCGAAUGCGGCGCCCGGAGACAUCUCCGGCGCGCUAAAGGGGGCCGCAAGGCUCCCCCUCUUCGAGGGGCUCGCGCACCAUCAGCUUGUUGGCGGGGUAACGGCCCACAAGGCUCACGGUUAGCUGGUCUGAGAGGAUGGCCAGCCGCACUGGGACUGAGAUACUGCCCAGACUCCUACGGGAGGCUGCAGUCGAGGAUCAUUCGCAAUGGGGGAAACCCUGACGAUGCGACGCUGCGUGGAGGAUGAAGGCCCUCGGGUCGUAAACUCCUGUCAUGAGGGAAAAGGAGAGGGGACCCAACACGUCCCUUAUUUGAUGGUACCUCAAGAGGAACGGGCGGCUAACUCUGUGCCAGCCGCCGC